This 468-nucleotide ribosomal RNA is filed under the name uncultured bacterium. RNAcentral describes it as "partial 16S ribosomal RNA". The stretch from base 58 to 468 matches the Rfam family "Bacterial small subunit ribosomal RNA", at positions 39 to 507 of the family's 1533-position model. The record is from RNAcentral.
GGGGGGGGGGGGGGGGGGGGGGGAGACAGGCAGGGCGAGGGGGGAGGGGGUGGGGGGGGGGGGUGCGGGAGGGGCGAACGGGUGAGUGAGCCGGGAGUAACCUGGCCUUGACAUAGGGGGCACUUGAGGAAACGGGGGGUGAUACGGGAACGGGGGACAGGGUGAGUGGUGGGGGGGGGGGAGGUUCGGCGGGUUGGGAUUGACUGGCGGCUGAGGAGCGUGUGGGGGGGGUAGUGGCUGACCAAGGCGUUGACGGGUAGCCGGCCUUAGAGUGUGACCGGCCACAUUGGGACUGAGAUACUGCCCAGACUCCUACGGGAGGCAGCAGUGGGGAAUAUUGCACAAUGGGCGGAAUUCUGAUGCAGCAACGCCGCGUGCGGGAUGACGGCCUUCGGGUUGUAAACCGCUUUCGCCUGUGACGAAGCGUGAGUGACGGUAAUGGGUAAAGAAGCACCGGCUCACUACGUG